RNAcentral lists this non-coding RNA (30 nucleotides) under Mus musculus (house mouse). The record is from RNAcentral. Lineage: Eukaryota; Metazoa; Chordata; Mammalia; Rodentia; Muridae.
UAAGAUUUAAGCAAGGAACUCAGCUAUAUG